AGACAGAGUCUCACACUGUCGCUGGGGCUAGAGUGCAGCGGUGCGAUCUCAGCUCACUGCAAUCUCCGCCUCCUGGGUUCAAGCGAUUCUCUUGCCUCAGCCUCCCAAGUAGUUGGGAUUACAGGCUCUGGCCACCACGCCCAGCUAAUUUUUUGUAUUUUUAGUAGAGACAGGGUUUCAUCAUGUUGGCCAUGCUGGUCUUGAACUCUUCACCUCGUGAUUCCACCCGCCCUGGCCUCCCAAAGUGCUGGGAUUACAGCUGUGAGCCACCGUGCCCAGUCUACUGUACAUUCUUAUUGUUAGAAUCGGUAACGUGCAAAUAUUACCUUUCCUGGUUUUGGCUUUUUUAAGUAAAAAAGUAAAAUUCCUCUGUCCCAGCGAUCCGAGUCUCCAUCCAGUAGGUACCCAUUGUUAACAUUUUUACUGUGUGCAAACACAGAUAAUACCCAGAAUUUUUUGACUGUUCUACAUAGCAGGGUCACAGCAUAUUUGCUUUUUAAAAAGCAUCUUCUUUUCUCUUUUAUCCAUUACAUCUUGCAUAGCAUUUUGUAUCGUGUAAUUUGCCUCAUUCUUUAGAUGGCCUUUUUUACUAGAGUAUAAUACACAGAAAAACAAAUUGUAACCACCACUCAGGUCAAGUAAUAAAACAUUUUCAUCACCAGAAACCUCCCUCCUGCCCACUCCCCAUCAUGCUUCUCCUUUCCUUCUUAUUAGCACCUUUUAUAGUGUACCCUGUUUUUCAAUUUUAUAUAGAUGGAAAUAGAGUAUGCAUUCUUUGGUGUUUGACUUAACAUUUUACUUGUGAGAUGUGUCCACAUUCAUGCACAUAGCAGUAGGUAAUUCAUUGUCAUUGAUGUAUAUACUGUUCCGCACUGGGAAUAUAACCACAGUUAAUUUAUCCAUUCUGCCAUUGGACAUUUGGGUUUCCAGUUUGGAGCUAUUAUACAUAAUAUUGCUAUAGAUAAUUGUCUAAGUCUUUCGGUAUACAUAAAGUAUUUGUACGUUCACUUUUAGUAGAUAUUGCUAACCUUUUUUUUUUUUUUUUUUUUGAGACAGAUUCUCGCUCUGUCACCCAGGCUGGAGUGUAGUGGCGCGAUCUCGGCUCACUGCAACCUCCACCUCCUGGGUUCAGCUAUUCUGCUGCCUCAGCCUCCCUAGUAGCUGGGACUAUAGGUGCAGGCGCAUGCCACUGUGCCCAACAAAUUUUUGUAUUUUUAGUAGAGACAAGGUUUCACUAUAUUGGUCAGUCUGGUCUCGAACUCCUAACCUCAGGUGAGGCCUCUGCCUCCCAAAGUGCUGGGAUUACAGCUACAGUGCAGUGGCACCGUAUUGGCACUCACUGCAACCUCUGCCUCCUGGGUUCAAGUGAUUCUCAUGCCUCAGCCUCCCAAAUAGCUGAGAUUACAGGCAUGCACCACCACACUGAGCUACAUUUUAAAACUUUUAAUAGAGAUGGAGUUUUACCAUGUUGGCCAGGCUGGUCUCAAACUCCUGACCUUAAGUAACCUGCCCACUUUAGCCUUCCAAAAUGCUGGGAUUACAGGCAUGAGCCACUGCGCCCAGCUGCUAAGCAAUGUAUUAAAGGGAGUGUUUCAGUUUAUAUUCUUUUUUUUUUUUUUUUUUUUUUUUUGAGACGGAGUUUCACUCUUGUUGCCCAGGCUGGAAUGCAAUGGCACAAUCUUGGCUCAUGGCAACCUCCACCUCCUGGGUUCAAGUGAUUCUUCUGCCUCAGCCUCCCGAGUAGCUGGGACCACACGCAUGCACCACCACGCCCAGCAAAUUUUGUAUUUUUAGUGGAGAUGGGGUUUCUGCAUGUUGGUCAGGCUGGUCUCAAACUCCCAACCUCAGGUGAUCCAACUGCCUUGGCCUCCCAAAGUGCUGGGAUUACAGGCGUGAGCCACUGCACCCAGCCCGGUUUAUAUUCUUACCAGCAGUAUAUGAGAUUUUUAUUUAUGUUGUUCCAUAUCCUCACCAACACUUGGUAUUGCCAGUCUCUUUAGCCAUUCUGCUAAGUGUGAAGUAAUAUUUCAUUGUGGUUUUAAUUUGCAUUUCCCUGAUUACUGAAAUACCAACUGUUUAUUGGCUAUUUGUAUAGCCUCUUUUGUGAGAUGCCUGUUCAAAUUUCUUGGCUCUUUUUUUUUUUUUUUUUUUUUUUUUUUGAGACAGAGUCUCGCUCUGUCACCAGGCUGGAGUGCAGUGAUGCGAUCUGGGCUCACUGCAAGCUCCGCCUCCCGGGUUCACGCCAUUCUCCUGCCUCAGCCUCCCGAGUAGCUGGGACUGCGGGCACCUGCCACCACACCCAGCUAAUUUUUUGUAUUUUUAGUAAAGACAGGGUUUCACCAUGUUAGCCAGGAUGGUCUCAAUCUCCUGACCUCAUGAUCUGCCCACCUCAGUCUCCCAAAGUUCUGGGAUUACAGGCAUGAGCCACCGCGCCUGGCCUCUUGGCUCUUUUCUACUAAGUUGUCUUUUUCUCAGAGAUUUGAAUAUGCUUUUUAUAUAUUCUAGAUACAAGCUCUCUGUCAUGUAUGUGUUACAACAAAAGUGUCCUGCUCUUGCCAUUCUACUUCCUUGUAGUUAGCAUAGUUUGUGUAGUAUUUAGGAAAUCUUUGCCUGUCCAACCUAAGGUCAUGAUAAUUUUCUUCUAUGCUACCUUCUAGAAGCUUUAUUAUUUUAUUAAUAUUUUCAUAUGUAAAUCCAUAAUCCACCUGAAAUUGAUUUUUGUGUGUGGUGUGAGGUUGGGAUCAAAAUUAGUUUUUUUUGUUUGUUUGUUUGUUUUUUACUAUAGAAAUACCCAUUUCUCUCAGCAACAUUUAUUGAAAGGACCAUCCUUAUUUCUCUGCAGCACUGCCUUUGUCUAAUUUAAGUGUCCGUAUAUAUGUGGGUCCAUUUCUAGACUUUCUUUUGUUCCAUUGGACUAUUUUUCUUACUACCCUUGUACCAGUCUUUGUUUUACCCCUACCCUUAUACUUUAAGUCUUGAUAGAGUCAGUCGUCCCCCUUUCUCAUUUCUUUUCAGGACUGUCUUGUUUCUUGGCCUUUUGCAUUUUCAUAUAAUUUUUAGAUCAACUUGUCAAUUUCCACACACACAAAAAAAAGUUUUGAGAUACUGAUUGGGAUUGCCUUUCAUCUACUGAUUACUUUGGAUGGAGUUAACAUUGUUAUAAUAUUGACCUUGUUUACUUCUAAUCUAUGAACAUGGAAUGUCAUUCAUUUCUUUAUUUAACUUUUGAGACAAGGGGUCUUGCUCUGUGGCCCAGGCUGGAGUGCAGUGGCAUGAUCAUAGCUCACUACUGCCUUGAAAUCCCAGGCUCAAGCAAUCCUCCUGCCUCAGCCUUUUGAGUACAGGCAUGCAUCACCACACCUAGCUAAUUUUAAAAAACUUAUAGUAGAGACAAGGUCUCACUGUGUUGCCUAGGCUGGUCUCAAACUUUUGAGCUCAAGCAGUCUUCCCACCUUGGCCUCUCUGAGUGCUGGAAUUAUAGGCAUGAACCACCAUGUCCCACCUCUUUCAUUUAUUUACAUUAUCUCUAAUUCAUCUCUGUAGAAGUUUUACUUCUCUUGUAUUAGAUUUAUUUCUAGGUAUCUGGUUUUUGUUUUGUUUUGUGAGAUGGAGUCUCGCUCUGUCGCCCAGGCUGGAGUGCAGUGGCACAAUCUCGGCUCACUGCACCCUCCACCUCCCGGGUUCAAGUGAUUCUCCUGCCUCAGCGUUCCAAGUAGCCGAGAUUACAGGCAUGCGCCACCACACCUGGCUAAUUUUGGAGUUUUAGUAGAGACAGGAUUUCACCUUGUUGGCCAGGCUGGUCUCAAACUCCUGACCUCAAGUGAUCCACCUGCCUCUGCUUCCCAGAGUGCUGGGAUUAUAGGCAUGAGCCACAGUGCCUGGCCCUAGGUAUAUGGUUUUGAUGCUAUUAUAAAUAGUGUCUUCAAAAUGUGAUUGGCUGUGCUGGUGUCUAGAAAUACAACUGAUUUUGUAUUCAGAAAGUUUGCUAAAUCUGUAUGUUCUUUAGGAUUUUAGUACAUACACUCAUGUCUAUGAUAAUGAGUUUUUCCUUCCCUCUGCAGUCUUAUUCUGUUUAUGUCUUACUGCACUUGGCUAGGACUUUGAGUUGAAUAGACAUAAUAAUAAACAUCCUUGUCUUGUUAUAUCUGAAAUGAGUGUGUACGUACAGUCAAUGAAGUAGAGGAGUAAUAACUUUUUUCCCCUAAUUGUUAAACCAGUUGACCAGUUGUCUUCCAGUCCUAGCUAAUCAUUACAGUCACCUUUGGCUUUUUUUUUUUUUUUUCCUUGAAGAGACCUCACUAUAUUGCCUAGGCUGGUCUCAAAACUCUUGGGCUCAAGUGAUCCUCCCACCUUGGCCUCCCAAAGUGUUGGGAUUACAGGCAUGCACCACCACACCUGGCUAAUUUUUGUAUUUCUAGUAGAGAUGAGGUUUCACCAUGUUGGCCACACUGUUCUCGAACUCCUGACCUCAGGAGAAUCGCUUGAACCAGGGAGGCGGAGGUUGCAGUGAGGUGAGAUCGUGCCACUGCACUCCAGCCUGGUGACAGAGCAAGGCUCCGUCUCAAAAAAAAAAAAAGUUCCACAGGUGACUGAUGAGCCGUCGUGUGAGAACCAGCGAGGUAGUGUCAGGGAUCUGAAGUGAUUGAAAAUGCCGCUUAUAUAUUCAAUCCUUGGAUCCCUUUGAUGAGUUUUUGUAUUCUGCUCUUUUAUAUGCCUGUAAUCCCAUGUUUUUUAAACCAUUGUGCUCUGGCCUUUCUUGCUGUUUGAGCGUAACUUCAACUGUUAUUGCCGUGAGCAGUCUUCUCAAGCUCCUCCUGGGCCCGGCUUCCUGAUGAUGGCCUCACUGAACUGUUCUGCUGCUUACCACUUGUCUGAAGCUUCCUCUUUUCCCUUUUUGAACUCUUAUUAAGCUUGGCUUCCUGUUUGUACUUAUUAAGCUUGUUGGCUUCCUGUUUGUACUUAUAUGAUGUAGCUGGUACUGGGUAAGAAAUCACUAGCAGCUUUUCAAGUAGGAAAGACGGUCUGAGGUGACAGUUUAGUGGCUUUGUAAUUAGGCUCAGCACUUACGAGACUAUUUGCAGUGUCCGCUCUGUGCCAUCUACUUUGCUGCUGGUC
Molecule: long non-coding RNA, 5115 nt
Filed under: Homo sapiens (human)
Lineage: Eukaryota; Metazoa; Chordata; Mammalia; Primates; Hominidae
Description: HSALNT0341562
Source: RNAcentral